UACAAAUCCAUUUGAUCAUUG
Molecule: non-coding RNA, 21 nt
Filed under: Caenorhabditis elegans
Lineage: Eukaryota; Metazoa; Nematoda; Chromadorea; Rhabditida; Rhabditidae
Source: RNAcentral